Molecule: ribosomal RNA, 164 nt
Filed under: uncultured bacterium
Lineage: Bacteria
Description: partial 16S rRNA
Rfam family: Bacterial small subunit ribosomal RNA
Source: RNAcentral
UAGGGAAUCUUCCACAAUGGGCGCAAGCCUGAUGGAGCAACACCGCGUGAGUGAAGAAAGGUUUCGGCUCGUAAAGCUCUGUUGUUAAAGAAGAACACGUAUGAGAGUAACUGUUCAUACGUUGACGGUAUUUAACCAGAAAGUCACGGCUAACUACGUGACAG